GCAGAUCCGCGGGGCCACGCCCACACGGCACACCUCCCGGCUGCCGCCGCCACCGCGGCGCGCGCUCUGCCGAGCCGAGCUGGAACAUGGCAAAUCGGCAAGGAUUUAUUUCACGCGGCGACUGGUGGAUGGGCGGGUUGGGUUUGACGGCGCCCGCGGGUCAGCUUGGCAGGUGAACACAGGUCGACGUGUGCAUGGGCGUUGCGCGGCACGGCACGGG
Molecule: long non-coding RNA, 220 nt
Filed under: Setaria viridis
Lineage: Eukaryota; Viridiplantae; Streptophyta; Magnoliopsida; Poales; Poaceae
Description: long non-coding RNA (SVIR_LNC007369)
Source: RNAcentral